This 756-nucleotide ribosomal RNA is filed under the name uncultured euryarchaeote. RNAcentral describes it as "bacterial SSU rRNA". The stretch from base 1 to 470 matches the Rfam family "Archaeal small subunit ribosomal RNA", at positions 467 to 1477 of the family's 1478-position model. Lineage: Archaea; Methanobacteriati; Methanobacteriota. The record is from RNAcentral.
GCGGUAAUACCGGCAGCUCAAGUGGUCGUCGCUUUUAUUGGGCCUAAAACGUCCGUAGCCUGUUUGGUAAAUCUGUGGGUAAAUCAACCAGCUUAACUGGUUGAAUUCUGCAGAGACUGCCAGACUAGGGACCGGGAGAGGUGUGGGGUACUCUAGGGGUAGGGGUAAAAUCCUGUCAUCCUUAGAGGACCACCAGUUGCGAAGGCGCCACACUGGAACGGAUCCGACGGUCAGGGACGAAGCCUAGGGGCACGAACCGGAUUAGAUACCCGGGUAGUCCUAGGUGUAAACGCUGUGAACUUGGUGUCGGGRRUCCGCAAUGGGMCCMCGGUGCCGGAGUGAAGAUGUUAAGUUCACUGCCUGGGGAGUACGGUCGCAGCGGUAAUACCGGCAGCUCAAGUGGUCGUCGCUUUUAUUGGGCCUAAAACGUCCGUAGCCUGUUUGGUAAAUCUGUGGGUAAAUCAACCAGCUUAACUGGUUGAAUUCUGCAGAGACUGCCAGACUAGGGACCGGGAGAGGUGUGGGGUACUCUAGGGGUAGGGGUAAAAUCCUGUCAUCCUUAGAGGACCACCAGUUGCGAAGGCGCCACACUGGAACGGAUCCGACGGUCAGGGACGAAGCCUAGGGGCACGAACCGGAUUAGAUACCCGGGUAGUCCUAGGUGUAAACGCUGUGAACUUGGUGUCGGGRRUCCGCAAUGGGMCCMCGGUGCCGGAGUGAAGAUGUUAAGUUCACUGCCUGGGGAGUACGGUCGCA